AUAAUGUACACAUGAUGUGUUGUUUGAGAUAAAAUCUUCCUAUAUAGGUCUGGCUGUCUGGGAAUUGUCUAUGUACAUCAAUUGGCCAUAAACUCACAGAGAUGCCUCCUGCUUCUAUCUCAAGAGUUCUGGGAUUAAACCAUUUUAAAAGAUUGUUGACAAAAAUUAUAUAUAUUCAUGAUAUUUAAAAUGACACUUUGAAAGUUAUAUAUUGUGAAAUGGUGAAAUCAGGCUAGUUAAGUCAAUAACCUCAUAUAUUUUGUGGUGAAACAUUUAAAAUUUUAGUGAUUUUUUCAAGUAUAUAAUAUUACUAUAGUUACUAUGUCACACAUUGGAUUAUUAUAUAUGAACAGUUGGUUUUCUUUAAAAAGUUAAUUAAUGUUUGGUGCUUAGGAUCGACCAAGGACCUAACUCAUGCUCUGUACCACUGAGCUAUUCCUCCCUCACAAUUGUGAACUUAGAUAAGUAUAAGACAACAGUGGACUAGGAGUGUAUCUCAGUGACUGAACACUUGUACAUUGAGGCCAUGAGUUUUGUUCUCAGAGUUUCAGAGAGUGGGGAUUGUGGGUAGACAAGAGAAAAUAUGGUAGUCAUUUUAUGGGUUGUAGAUUCAAAAGCAGCAUGAUUUCUGUGGUUAUAGUGGCACAGGCAAAGGCCAGCCUCUUUCAGGAUUAGCAUUCUCUCUUUUUAAAAGAAUUAUUUUUUAUUUUUUAAAUGGUUUUUUUCUGGUUUUCUGAGACAGGCUUCUCUGUGUAACAGCCCUAGCUGUCCUGGAAUUCACUUUGUAGAUCAGACAUGUCUCAACCUCACAGAGAUCAUCCUGCCAGUCUCCCCAUUCCUGGGAUAACAGUUGUAUGCUACAAUGUCCGGCUCUAUUUUUUAAUUUUUUUAAUUAGAAAAUUAUUUUACAUGUCAAUCCCAGGUCCCUCUCCCUCCCCUCCUCUCCUGCCCCCCCCAACAAACACCCUACCUAUCCCAUACCCUUUCUGCUCCCCAGGAGGUAAGGCCUUCCAUAGGGGUUCUUAAGUCUGUCAUAUUCUUUGGGAUGAGGCCUAGGCAGCCCCCUUGUGUCUAGGCUCAGGGAGUAUCCCUCCAUGUGGGAUGGGCUCCUAAAGUCCAUUCCUAUGGUAGUCAUAAGUAUUGAUUCCAAGGUCUCCUCACUGACACCCACAUUCAGGGGGUCUGGAUCAGUCCCAUGCUGGUUUCCCAGCUAUCCCUCUGGGAACCAAGAGUUUUCCCUUGUUCAGGUUAGCUGUUUCUGUGGGUUUCACCAGCCUGGUAUAGACCACUUUGCUCAUCAAUCCUCCUUCUCUGAAUCUGGAUUUCAGUUUAGUUCAAGGUUUAGCUGUGGGUGCCUGCUUCUACUCCCACCAGCUGCUGGCUGAAGUCUAUAUGAUGGCACAUGAAUUCGUCAUCAAUCUCAUUAUCAGGAGAGGGCAUUAAAGGUAGCCUCACCUCUGUUGCUUAGAUUGUUAGUUGGUGUCAUCUCUGUAGCUCUCCAGACAGUUCCCUAGUACCUGAUUUCUCUUUGCACUUAUAAUGUCUCACUCUAUUAUAUUAUCUCUUAUCUUGCUCUCUUCUGUUCUUCCCCCAACUCAAACUCCCUGUACCAUAAUGUCUUCCUCACCCCUUUUUUUCUUCCUUUCUCAUUCUCCUAGUUCCCCCUUCCUUCCCUCAUGCUCCCAAUUUGCUCAGCAGAUCUUGUCCCUUUCCAGGGGGCCAUGUAUGUCUCUCUUAGGGUCCUCCUUGUUUACCAGCUUCUCUGGCAGCCUGGGCUACAGGCUGGCAAUCCUUUACUCUAUGUCUAAAAUCCACAUAUGAAUAAGUACAUAUAAUGCCUGUCUUUUUGUGACUGGGUUACCUUGCUCAGAAUGGUUUCUUCUAGUUCCAUCCAUUAGCCUAUGAAUUUAAAGAUUUCAUUGCUAUUUUUCCCCACUGCAUAGUACUCCAUUGUGUAAAUGUUUCACAUUUUCUCUAUCUAUUUUUCAGUUGAGGGGCAUAUAGGUUGUUUCCAGGUUCUGGCUACUACAAAUAAGGCUGCUAUGAACAUAGUUGAAUACAUGUCCUCGUUGUAGAAAUGUGCUUCUUUUGGCUAUAUGCCUAAGAGAGGAAUUGCUGGAUCUUGUGGUAGACUGAUUGCUAUUUUUCCUGAGGAAUCGCCAUACAGAUUUCCAGAGUGGCUGUACGUGUUGGCACUCCCACUAGCAGUGGAGGAGUGUUCCCAUUUCUCCACAAACUCUCCAGCAUAAACUGUCAUUGGUGUUUUGAUUUUAGCCAUUAUGACAGGUGUAAGAUGGUAUCUCAGAGUUGUUUUGAUUUGUAUUUCCCUGAUGGCUAAGGAUUUUGAACACUUUCUUGUGUGUCUUUCAUCCAUUUUAGAUUUCUCUAUUGAGCAUUGUCUUAUUAAGUACUGUACCUCAGUUUUUAAACGUUUUAUUUAUUUAUUGUGUAUACAACAUUCUGCCUCCAAGUGUGCCUGCAGGCCAGAAGAGGGCACCAGAUCUAUUUACAGAUGGUUGUCAGCCAACAUGUGCUUGCUGGGAUUGAACUCAGGACCUCUGGAAGAGCAGGCAGUGCUCUUAACCUCUGAACCAUCUCUCUAGUUCCCCUGUACCCCACUUUUUAAUUGGAUUAUUUGAUGUUUUGGAGAUGAGCUUAAGUUAUUUGUAAAUUUUGGAGAUCAGCCCUAUGUCAGAUGUGCGGUUGGUGAAUAUCUUUUCCCAGUCUGUGGGCUGCCGUUUUGUCUUGUUGACAGUGACUUUUGCCUUAGAGAAGCUUCUCAGUUUCAGGAGGUCCCAUUUAUUAAUUGUGGAUCUCAGUGUCUGUGCUACUGGUAUUAUGUUCAGGAAUCUGUCUCCUGUACCAAUUUGUUCAAGGGUAUUUCCUACUUUUUCUUCUAAUAAGUUCAGUGUAGCUGUGGUCAUGUUGAGGACUUUGAGCCAUUUGGACUUAAGUUUUGUACAUGGAGAUAGACAAGGAUCAGUCUGCAGUCUUUUACAUGCCAGCAUCCAGUUAUGCCAGCACCAUUUAUUAAAGAUGCUUUCUUUAUUCCAUCGAAUAAAUUUAGCUUCUUUUAAAAAAUCUAUUGUUUGUAGGUGUGUGGGUUAAUAUUGGGCUUUUCAACUAUAUUCCAUUGGUCUACCUGUCUAUUAUUGUGCCAAUAACAAGCUGUUUUCAGGACUAUAGCUCUGUAAUAGAGGUUGAAGUCAGGGAUGGUGAUGCCUCUGGAAGUUCCUUUAUUGUACAGGGUUGUUUUGGCUAUCCUGGGUCUUUUGUUUAUCCAUAUGAAGUUAAGAAUUGCUCUUUCAAGUUCUGUGAAGGAUUGUGUUGGGAUUUUGAUGGGGAUUGUGUUGAAUCUCUAGAUUGCUUUUGGCAAGAUUCCCAUUUUUAGUGUGUUGAUCCUACCUAUCCAAGAACAUGGGAGAACUUUCCAUUUUUUGGUUUCUUCUUUAAUUUCUUUGUUUAGAGACAAAAAUUUCUUACAGUACAGAUCUUUCACUUUUUUGGUUAGCAUUACCUCAAGGAAUUUUAUAUUGUUUGUGGCAAUUGUAACUAUUUCUUCAUGAAUGGAUCCUCUGUAUACAGUAGUGCUACAGGUUUUUUUUGAGUUAAUCUUGUAUCCUGCCACGUUGCUGAAGGUGUUUAUCAGCUGUAGGAGUUCCCAGGUAGAGUUUUUCAGUUCACUUAUGUAGACUAUCAUAACAUCUGGAAACAGUGAAAGCUUGACUUCUUCCUUUCCAAUUUGUAUCUCCUUGAUCUUCUUUUGUUGUCUGAUUGCUCUAGCUAGAACUUCAAGGACAAUAUUGAAGAGAUAUGGAGAGAGUGGGCAGCUUUGUCUUGUUCCUGAUUUUGGAGGAAUAGCUUUGAGUUUCUCUCCAUUUAGUUUGAUGUUGGCUGUUGGCUUACUGUAUAUUGUUUUUAUUAUGUUCAGGUAUGUUCUUGUUAUUCCUGAUCUCUCCAGGUCAUAUAUCAUGAACAGACGUUGGUUUUGUCAAAGGCUUUUUUCAGAAUCUAGUGUGAUGAUCAUGUGGUAUUUCAUCUUCAGUUGCUUUAUAUGGUGGAUUACAUUGAUAGAUUUUUGAAUGUUGUACUAACCCUGCAUCCCAGGGAUGAAGCUUCCGUGAUCAUGGUGGAUGAUUUUUUUAAAUAUACUUGGAUUCGGUUUGCUAGUAUUUUAUUCAGUAUUUUUGCAUCUAUGUUCAUGGGGUAUAUUGUUCUGUAGUUCACUUUCUUAGUUGUGUCUUUGUGUGGCUUGGGUAACCAAGGUAAUUGUAGCCUUGUAAAAAGAGUUUGGCAAUGAACAUUCUGCUUCUAUUGUGUGAAACAAUUCAAAAAGUAUUGGUAUUAGCUCUUAUUUGAAUUUCUGGUGGAAUUCUACACUGAAGCCAUCUGUCCCUGGCCUUUUAUUGGUUGGGAGACAUUUGAUGACUUCUUCUGUUUAUUUAAAGGUUAUGGGCCUGUUUAAGUUGGCUAUCUCUUUUGAUUCAAUUUUGGGUAAGUGAUAUCUGUCCAAAAAAUUGUACAUUUCUUUUAAAUUUUUGAAUUUUGUGGAGUACAGGUUUUCAAACUAUGACCUCAAGAUUCUCUGGAUUUGCUUUAAAUUUUUGAAUUUUGUGGAGUACAGGUUUUCAAACUAUGACCUCAAGAUUCUCUGGAUUUGCUUUAAAUUUUUGAAUUUUGUGGAGUACAGGUUUUCAAGUAUGACCUCAAGAUUCUCUGGAUUUCCUAAGUGCCCUCCUUUUCAUAUCUGAUUUUGUUAAUUAGCAUGCUCUCUCUGUCUCUCUGACUUUUGGUUAGUUUGGAUAAAGUUUUGUCCAUCUUGCUGAUUUUUCUUGAAGAACCAACUCUUUGUUACAUUGAUUCUUUCAAUUUUUUUCGUUCUUUCAACUUUAUUGAUUUCUGCCCUCAAUUUGAUUAUUUCCUGUUGUCUACUCCUCCAGGGUGAAUUUGCUUCUAUUUGUUCCAUCUGUGAUGUCAUAUCUCUGGUGUGACUAUUCUCUAGUUUCUUCAUGUGAGCUCUUAGAAUUAUGGACUUUCCUCUUAGUACUGCUUUCAAAGUGUCCCAGAAGUUUGGGAAUGUUGUGUCUUCUUUUUCGUUGAAUUCAAGAAAGUCUUUAAUUUCUUUCUUUAUUUCUUCCUUGACUCAGGAAUGGUGCAAUUGCAUGUUGUUCAAUUUCCAUGAGUUUGUAGGUUUUCUGCAAUUUGUGUUGUUUUUGAUUUCUAACUUUAAGGCAUGGUGGUCUAAUAAGACACAGGCCAUUUUCCCAACUUUUUUGUACCUGUUGAGCUUUGCUAUGUUGCUGAGUAUGUGAUGCUGAAAAGAAGAAAUAUUCUUUUGUGUUUGGAUGGAAAGUUCUAUAGAUGUCUGUUAAUCCCAAUUGGGUCAUAGCUUCUGUUAGUUCCUUUGUCUCUUUGUUAAGUUUCUGUCUGGUAGUCCUGUCCAGUGGUGUGAGUGGGGUGUUGAAGUCUCCCAGUAUAACUGUGUGAGGUCCUGUUUGUGAUUUGAGUUUUAAUAAUGUUUCUUUUAUGAAUGUUGAUGCCUUUGUAUUUGGGGCAUAGAUGUUUAGAAUUGAGACUUCUUCCUGAUGGAAUUUUCCUGUGAUGAAUAUGAAAUGCCCUUCUUCAUCUCUUUUGAUUGAUUUUAGUUUGAAGUCUAACUUGCUAGAUAAUAGGGUAGCUAGCCAAGCUCAUUUCUUGGGUCCAUUUGAUUGGAAUAUCUUAUCCCAACACUUUCCUCUGAGGUAAUGUCUGUUUUGAAGUUGAUGUGUGUUUCUUGUAUGCAGCAGAAGGAAGGAUUCUGUCUCUGUAUCCACUCUGUAAGACUGUGUCUUUUGAUAGGCGAGUUAAGACCAUUAAUAUUGAGGAAAAUUAAGGACCAUUGAGUGCUUAUUCUUGUUUGUUUUUUAUUUGGUGUUGGUAGUGGUAUUGUAGGUGGAUUUACCCUGCUUUUUUGGGGGGGUUGAUAAAGUGGGAUUAUCUAUUGCCUAUGUUUUUUGUGUGUAGUAAAUUUCCUUAGGUUGUAGUUUUCCUUCCAAUACUUUCUGUAGGGCUGGAUUAGUGGUUAUACAUUGUUUAAAUAUGGUUUUGCCAUUGAAUGUCUUAUUUUCUCCAUUUAUAGUGACUGAAAUCUUUGCUGGGUAUAGUUUUCUGGGCUGGCAUCUGUAUUCUCUUAGAGUUGGUAGAAUAUCUAUCCAGGUCCUUCUGGCUUUCUGAGUUUCCAUUCAGAAGUCCCGUCUACUUUAUAUGUUACUUGGCCUUUUUCCUUUGCUGCUAUUAAUGUUCAUUGUUUAUUCUGUAUGUUUUGUGUUUUAUUAUGUGAUGAUGGGACUUUCUUUUGUGGGGCAAAUCUGGCUCUAUUAUUUUAGUGUUAUAAGUGCAUGUAAGUAUGAGCACUGUAUGUGUGGCUGGUUCCUGAUGAAGCCAGAAGAGGGCGCCAGAUUAUUUGGAACUGGACUUGCACAGAUGGUUGUAAGCCUUAUGUGUUCAAGGUGUGUUGAACCCUUUUCCUCAAGAAGAAUAGCAGGUGCUCUUAGCUGCUGAGUCAGGUCUCUAGCCCAGUAAUUGGGAAUCUCUUAAUGAACCCUUUUUCAAAUAACUAGUAUACCUUUGCUUUUCUGUCAGUGUAUCCUGUCAUUCUCAGAUUACAGUAGGGUGGUGAGUUUCCCAGAGAGACAGUGCUUACUAAAAUAUUUGCCCUGUAGGAAAGAGGAGCCCGCAUUUUAUCAUCUUCAGAAAACAGGUGAGAGACACCUAUUAGAAUUUUUGUGAUUAUUAUUUAUUAUAGCAAAGUACUCCGUGAAAUAUUUGAUAUGGAUGGAGUGAGCAAAUGAUUUGCUGAUUUACUUAGUAAAUUAAAUUUAUCACAUGGGUGUUAGAGUGCAUACCUAUAAUCCCAGAACUCAGAUAGCUGGGCCAGAAAGAUAAAGAGUUUGAGGCUCUCUUAGCAUACACAUUAAGAUCCUGUCUAUAAAAGUAAAUUAAAGGUUUCAAAAUUUCUGAUUCCUAGGCAUCUCUUAGGAAAAUUACCUCACAGAUGAGUACCCAGAAUCUAUGUUUUUAGAAAAAGAUUUUUAAAAGUGUGUGUGGAGGGGGGGGAGGUGUUGCCUUAGAGGCCAGAACAGCAUUCCAUUAGAUCCUGAGUUACAUGUAGUUUGGAGCCACUCAAUGUGGGUGCUGGCGGCUUUGGAAAACCAGGAAGUGCUCUUAACCAUUGAACCAUCCCCCCAGCCUUGAGAAACUGUAUGGUUAAAGAAUGUUUUCAGGUGAGGUAUUCUUAUAUAAUAGAUAUAGUAGUGUCCAAUGACAGGUUUGAUAGUCACAAUGUUUAGGGUAGUUAUCAAAAAAUGUUAAAUAACACCAAAUAUACACAGAAAAGAAUCAACAAAUAUAUUGAAAGAUUUUAUAAAUGUAUCAGGAUAUAUUUUACUUACUUAAAAAUCCUUUUUAUGAAACUGACACCUUAAUUUUUUCCUCCUCAUAACAAUGAACAGUAAACUUUGCCUCAUGGAUCCCCAUGUAUAUUUCCAAGCAGGAAUCUGUGAAAAAUCUGUGAAAAUUUGAGGUACAGUGACAUAGUACUGACUCCAUCCACCUCCAGAAACUUACUUGAAGUAGGAAUAUCUUACGUGAUGCUGUUACUUCCCAAGGUGGCACUGUGAAAAAGAAUUUCUCUGUUAUGCAACUAGCUAUAGUGUACUGUAGGGAAUGCUGCAUGUUUGGUUGUGAUAAAUGGAGGACUUGUUGUUCUUGGGUUUUCUUUUGUGCCCUCAUAGUCAUCCAGAGGCUUUCAUCUCAUCCAAGCUGUUAUUCUCUAUUCCAGGCUUGCAGCUAGAAUCAAGGCUGGGAAUUCUGAAGGACUGGGGAUGGUGUGAGUUCAUGAUCUCUGCCCAUAGACAGGUGUUGUCCUCAUCUGGGCAUCCUGGGUGCAGGAUUUGUAGAGUACUUCCCUGCAGCACAAGGAUUAUCUGGCCAGAAGUGUCCAUCCAUUUUCAGCACUGAAAAAGAUUGGCAGAAGAAGGCAGGGUCUGGCUUGGAGCAGGAGGCAAUGUCAUGAAUUGUGAAGCACUUUAGAUGGGAGCAGUCAAUGAUCUGUCCCCAAAGACAGGUGGUGUCUUCACCUACACAUCCUGUGUGCAGGCAUUGCAGAGCUCUGGACUCUGCAGCUGACAGAUUGUCUGGCCUGGAGGUGUCAAUCCCAGGGAUGUCUCCAUUUCCACUACUUAAAAAGAGUGAAGGAAGAAGACAGUGUCUGGUGAGUGAGAUGCUCCUCUCCUUUGAGUGCCCCUACAGCAUUGGGGCAGGGUUUCCUAUAGCUCUGCUUGAGUAGCAAGUGCAUCACCUUUGUUUGGAGACUCAUAGUACUCUUCAGUGUUUUGUGGUGACCAUGUAAUGUUGUGUCCUCUCAGAUGUUUGUGUGUUCCUUUGUGUUUGUGUGGUGUGUGCAUGCAUAGUGAUCACUGGUAGGUUACAGAAUUCCCUUGGCCUGUGGUCUUCCCUCACCCUCCCCUUUGUCUUUGAAAUAGUGCCUCUCCUUUCUUUGGAAGUUUGCUCUUAGGCAGGUCAUCGUGUCUAAAGGUUCCAAAACUUACAUGUGUCUUUAUCUUGUUUCAGUCUCUGUCAUUACUACUAUGUCCCCAGAAAGCUUGGUUUUUAUAGGUGGUUAGGUUACUGCACCCAAUUCCCCACUCCUGACAGCCCACCAGUUGUAGAACCCUGACUUUUAUCCAGCCCCACUUUUCAGAGACUUCUAUAAGUGGCAUGACAAUUAGUUUAAGGAGGUGAAAUCUUUGGGCUGGAGGGUUACUUUCUCCCAUCAUUGAGACAGAAUGAUUGGGAUGGGGAGCCAGAGGCAAAGCUAUCCUCUUGGGACUCCCAUUCUUCCUCUGUGUGGGUAUUAAGAUCUAAAAUAUUAUCCCACAUGGCUAUCAUGGACCUGGAGGAGAGGGUGGCAUUCUGGUCCAUGACAGUUACAGUGAAGUCUUUCCUGUCAGUGCUUUCUGUGAGAUCCCAUGGGAGAGCACUUGGAUAAGAGAGUGCUAAGGUAGAGAUCUGGUUCUGGCCAGUCAGUGCACUCAGCUUGUUCAUGCCAGCUCAUUGAUAAAGGUAGGCACUGUCCAUGAGCUGCUGGUCACAAGUGCUGGGAUCUGAUGGCAGGAGCCAUGCAGAACUCACAGCUGGUGUGGAGACCCUGGAGAAGUUGCACACACUUCCUGCUGAAGGUGUGGAAUUCCUCAGCACAGGCACAGAAGGCCUCAGAGCACAUUCUGUCCCAAAGAAUGGUGUGCUUUGGAAAUUUGGAAAUUAACUGUAGAAAGCAAGAGAACACUGAGAAAAUUGUGAGAUGGAAAUUUUGUAGCUUCCUGUGAAGAUCUGUGUUAUGGCCAGGUUGUCCUGUCUGGGUUUGUCUGUAACCCAUGUUCCCUCACAUAUCCCAAACAAAAGGAUUCAGAAUGCUUCUUGGUAUUGGAUUAGGAUGGAACUCAUUAGAUGAGCUGCCUGUCAUUCCUGUUUGGGCAUGGAAGUCCUAGAUGCUCCGUUUUUAUCCAGGCUUUCAUAUGGACACCACUGUUUUUUGCCCUGCUGUGCCUGCUGUGACACUCGCUUACAUCUGUGUGCCAGAUCAGAUGUGUUUACAGAUAGGAGAACCUUAGACAACCUGUCAUACUUAUUUGCCUUAAAAUUUUAACCUUAUGAAAGCUACUAACUUGUAAAAUAUAAUGAAAUUUAUUUUAAUGACAAACCUUAUUCAGCUUCCUGUAUAAGUCUUCAAGUUUAAAGUUUAAAACUGGUAACUGAAAAAGAAUGUUGAUUGCUGAUUUUGGGAAUUGAACCCUUUAACACAAAAGUUGUCAGUGUGAAAAUUAAGUUCUGAAAUGAGAAAAAUCAGAUUUACCGUCAAGCAUAUAUCCCCCCAAGUCUGCUUCCUCUUUCUGCUCUCCAUCUUUCUCCCUUUUCUCUCUUCUUUCCCUUUCUCUGCCUCCUCUCUCCUCUCC
RNAcentral lists this long non-coding RNA (9992 nucleotides) under Cricetulus griseus (Chinese hamster). RNAcentral's name for it is "lncRNA (ENSCGRG00015029603.1)". Lineage: Eukaryota; Metazoa; Chordata; Mammalia; Rodentia; Cricetidae. The record is from RNAcentral.